Long non-coding RNA from Haemorhous mexicanus (house finch), 931 nucleotides. RefSeq lists it as uncharacterized. Lineage: Eukaryota; Metazoa; Chordata; Aves; Passeriformes; Fringillidae. The record is from RefSeq and is a predicted model, not a curated record. The transcript has 3 exons.
CCCCAGCCUAGGCAUUUCUCACCACAGAUCUGAGGUGGCUCCUGAAUUUAUAAUGUCCCUCUGUGAUUUAAAACUUCGUUCAUAAGUAGCCUCUUAAGAAUCUUUGUUUUGGUUUCUCCCUAGUAAAAUGUAAGAUUCAAACUGCUUCAGCUGGAGCAUAAUGAGGUUAGUUGCAUCAUUAUUGGGUUAGAAAAGGAAGCAGCAUUUGCUUCAAGGGAACCCAGAUAGAAUUCUGUGAGUGUUCCGAAGACCUAGGACAUGGCUGAGGAACAGUGACACAAUCCUUCUGAACUUCUUUGUUUUCAGUGGUCUUGUGAUCUAUCAGAAUCACCAUUUCCUCACCCAAGUGCUAGAUAAGAAACCACAUUCCAGCUUCUUUGCUGUCCCACAAGGCAGAGACGACUUCGUUUGCAUCUCAAUGUCUCACCUAGUCACAGGAGUUGGGAAAUGAUGCAAGGCAUUGCUUGCCUUGCAAGAAAGACCAGGAAGACUGAGGAAAGAAGAAGCAGUAAUGUGCAGCUGUGACCACUGAAAUCAAAUGAAUGACUAUGAACAAAUCAUUAUAGGCUCUUCAAUACCAUGAUUAGCCAUGGCAGUACUACUACAUUAGCACAGCUGGACAUCCACUCUAAAUAGUCUUACAUUGUAACAAGGCAAGGACACUCAAGAAUGGCUCCAUACUGCCACAGCUAUCUUCUUCUUGUGUUUCAUGAAAAAAUAUACUCAUAACUCAAAUAUGAGUCACAAACAUUAUUUCAUCUGUUGUUCAAUAGACUGAGUUUGUACUGUCCUAAACCAUUCAUGGACUGUAAAUUAAAAUUCCUAGAAAGAAGGGUCAAUUAUCAAUGGAAAAAUAUACUUCAGUGAUGUUCUGUAUUUAGUGUACUGUAAUAAUUUAAAUUAAAAUGUUCCAUCAUAAUAUUACGAAAAA